RNAcentral lists this ribosomal RNA (253 nucleotides) under uncultured prokaryote. Its description in RNAcentral is "partial 16S ribosomal RNA". It matches the Rfam family "Bacterial small subunit ribosomal RNA", at positions 525 to 777 of the family's 1533-position model. The record is from RNAcentral.
ACGAAGGGUGCAAGCGUUACUCGGAUUCACUGGGCGUAAAGGGUGCGUAGGUGGUUGGGUAAGUCUGAUGUGAAAUCUCCGGGCUCAACCCGGAAAUGGCAUUGGAUACUAUUCGGCUAGAGGUUUGGAGGGGGGACUGGAAUUCUCGGUGUAGCAGUGAAAUGCGUAGAUAUCGAGAGGAACACCAGUGGCGAAGGCGAGUCCCUGGACAACACCUGACACUGAGGCACGAAAGCUAGGGGAGCAAACAGGA